This 404-nucleotide ribosomal RNA is filed under the name Verrucomicrobiota bacterium. RNAcentral's name for it is "Verrucomicrobia bacterium partial 16S ribosomal RNA". It matches the Rfam family "Bacterial small subunit ribosomal RNA", at positions 355 to 776 of the family's 1533-position model. The record is from RNAcentral. Lineage: Bacteria; Pseudomonadati; Verrucomicrobiota.
UGGGGAAUAUUGCACAAUGGGGGAAACCCUGAUGCAGCGACGCCGCGUGAGCGAUGAAGGCUUUCGAGUCGUAAAGCUCUGUCCUAUGGGAAGAUAAUGACGGUACCUCAAGAAAAAGCCCCGGCUAACUACGUGCCAGCAGCCGCGGUAAUACGUAGGGGGCUAGCGUUGUCCGGAAUCACUGGGCGUAAAGGGUUCGCAGGCGGAAUAACAAGUCAGAUGUGAAAGGCAUGGGCUCAACCCAUGUAAGCAUUUGAAACUGUAAUUCUUGAGAAGUGGAGAGGUAAGUGGAAUUCCUAGUGUAGCGGUGAAAUGCGUAGAUAUUAGGAGGAAUACCGGUGGCGAAGGCGACUUACUGGACACAAAUCUGACGCUGAGGAACGAAAGCGUGGGUAGCAAACAGG